RNAcentral lists this ribosomal RNA (429 nucleotides) under Verrucomicrobiota bacterium. RNAcentral's name for it is "Verrucomicrobia bacterium partial 16S ribosomal RNA". It matches the Rfam family "Bacterial small subunit ribosomal RNA", at positions 355 to 776 of the family's 1533-position model. The record is from RNAcentral. Lineage: Bacteria; Pseudomonadati; Verrucomicrobiota.
UAGGGAAUCUUCGGCAAUGGGGGGAACCCUGACCGAGCAACGCCGCGUGAGUGAAGAAGGUUUUCGGAUCGUAAAGCUCUGUUGUUAAGGAAGAACGAGUGUGAGAAUGGAAAGUUCAUGCUGUGACGGUACUUAACCAGAAAGGGACGGCUAACUACGUGCCAGCAGCCGCGGUAAUACGUAGGUCCCGAGCGUUGUCCGGAUUUAUUGGGCGUAAAGCGAGCGCAGGCGGUUAGAAAAGUCUGAAGUGAAAGGCAGUGGCUCAACCAUUGUAGGCUUUGGAAACUGUUUAACUUGAGUGCAGGAGAGAAAAGUGGAAUUCCUAGUGUAGCGGUGAAAUGCGUAGAGAUUAGGAGGAACACCGGUGGCGAAAGCGGCUUUUUGGCCUGCAACUGACACUGAGGCGCGAAAGCGUGGGGAGCAAACAGG